This 402-nucleotide ribosomal RNA is filed under the name Triticum aestivum (bread wheat). RNAcentral's name for it is "partial small subunit ribosomal RNA". The record is from RNAcentral. Lineage: Eukaryota; Viridiplantae; Streptophyta; Magnoliopsida; Poales; Poaceae.
AUGACACGAGGCGGGGUAACGGAAGACCCGCAGUACAGAAUGACAACAGUGGAUCUCAACAAUCUUGGGUAUGCAGACGAACCAUUCGUCCUAGCCAAUGAUGUGGCACAGAUUUUCUAUGUGAAGGACAUGUCUACCAAGUCGAGAAAAAGAAAAGAUAAGGAAGCGAAUACAUCGUACGAUGAGUCAAAGCGGCACAUAGUUAUUUCUAGGAAGAGAAACAUCGUGGGAGUGGAUGACAAGACAAACAUGUCAGGAGAUUAUGAAAAGUUUGAUGAAAUUGCUCCAUUCACAGUGAAUGUUGACCCGAGCAUCCAGUUAAAUGAUGAAAAUUUUCCAUGGCUACGGCGCAAAGGGACACACGCGAAGAAAAAGUUUCACACCCAAAGAUCUGGGAUGUGA